This 362-nucleotide transfer-messenger RNA is filed under the name Deltaproteobacteria bacterium. It matches the Rfam family "transfer-messenger RNA". From Rfam's summary of the family: Bacterial tmRNA, also known as 10Sa RNA or SsrA, is named for its dual tRNA and mRNA-like properties. Its role is to liberate the mRNA from a stalled ribosome. To accomplish this part of the tmRNA is used as a reading frame that ends in a translation stop signal. Lineage: Bacteria; Pseudomonadati; Myxococcota; Myxococcia. RNAcentral also lists the same sequence under 1 other name. The record is from RNAcentral.
GGGGGCGAAACGGAUUCGACGGGGAUAGCGAAGCUUAGUGUUGCAUGCCGAGUUUCUGUCAGCUCGUAAAAAUGACGGAAUUAAAUAUAAUCGCAGACGAUUAUAACUACGCACUGGCAGCGUAAUAACCUGCCAUGCCGUUCCGCCGGCCCCCGCCCACGGAGCCGGAUUCGGAGCGUCGACACUGUGGGCUGGUUAUCCGCGCACGCCUGAGGCGCGGCUGACGAGAUCCCUUCAGGCUGGCGCCUGGUUAUCCCGGUUCCGGGUGAGCCCCGGGCGCGAGAUUCAAUCCCGGAACUAAGCAUGUAGAGACCUGAGGGGAGUAUUUCCGGACGCGGGUUCGACUCCCGCCGCCUCCACCA